CAGCCCUAAACGAUGCGCGUUAGGUGUAUCGGUGACCACGAGUCACCGAGGUGCCGAAGGGAAACCGUGAAACGUGCCGCCUGGGAAGUACGGUCGCAAGGCUGAAACUUAAAGGAAUUGGCGGGGGAGCACCACAACAGGUGGAGCCUGCGGUUUAAUUGGACUCAACGCCGGGAAGCUCACCGGAUAGGACAGCAGAAUGAUUGCCGGGCUGAAGACCCUGCAUGACUAGCUGAGAGGAGGUGCAUGGCGUCAGUGACU
This 261-nucleotide ribosomal RNA is filed under the name uncultured archaeon. RNAcentral's name for it is "partial 16S ribosomal RNA". It matches the Rfam family "Archaeal small subunit ribosomal RNA", at positions 748 to 1008 of the family's 1478-position model. The record is from RNAcentral.